CAGUCGCCACGGGAAAACGGAGGGGGCUAGCGUUGUUCGGAAUUACUGGGCGUAAAGCGCGCGUAGGCGGUUACUCAAGUCAGAGGUGAAAGCCCGGGGCUCAACCCCGGAACUGCCUUUGAAACUAGGUGACUAGAAUCUUGGAGAGGUCAGUGUAAUUCCGAGUGUAGAGGUGAAAUUCGUAGAUAUUCGGAAGAGCACCAGUGGCGAAGGCGACUGACUGGACAAGUAUUGACGCUGAGGUGCGAAAGCGUGGGGAGCAAACAGGAUUAGAUACCCGCGUAGUCCCUGUCUCUUAUAC
RNAcentral lists this ribosomal RNA (301 nucleotides) under uncultured bacterium. Its description in RNAcentral is "partial 16S ribosomal RNA". It matches the Rfam family "Bacterial small subunit ribosomal RNA", at positions 509 to 807 of the family's 1533-position model. The record is from RNAcentral.